CGCAGUAGGUGUCGGAGGGGAACCUCCGGUGAAAAGGGAAACAGGUGUAAGUCCUGUACGAACUCGUCACUGUAAACAGAUUCUAGCAAUGCCCGGAAGCUGAAAGGCUUCAGCCACUGGAAACGGGAAGGCGGUCAUGCUGUAUAUCUGUAAGUCAGGAGACCUGCCCGCUGU
RNAcentral lists this non-coding RNA (174 nucleotides) under pig gut metagenome. The record is from RNAcentral.